GUGAAAAAGAUGUGGGCUGGUGAAGCUAUGCAAAGGAGCCAAAAGCCUGCUGGCAUCUGCCUUGAGGAGCCUUUGCCCCCAGAAGGAGCUGGGAGCAGAACUGGGCACAGUGGAGCAGCAGGACAAGAGCUGAAGAGCAAGGCAGGACACUGCUGCACCGCAGCCUGUUCCCCACUGCUGGAUAAAUACCUCGGAGAACUGGAGCCACCAUCGAAUCACUGCUGAUGGGAUGCAUAAAUCAAGGGUGAAAACCUAAAAGCACCUACUCUUGUUUCUGGUACCUCAGAUGGCUCAUUCACAGCUGGCUCAGGGAGAAAAGGUCACACACGGAAGCCUUCAGUACAGUGCUUGUGCAUCUGUGCAUGCUCCUGUUAGCAACACACUGUGGUGCCUCAGAGAUGUUCCUUGGCAGCUGUACACCUCCUCCAGAACGGGCCUUGCUUACACACCAGAUGAGAAUGCAUUUUGCCUCUUCUCACCAGAACCCGCUGUUGCAUCAGAAACACCAAAUCAGAAAAAUUAAGUUAAACAAAAUUUGUUUGGACAAAAAUUAAUCUGUUACAUCUGAAGACCACAGGGCUGAACAAAUGGGAUGAAUUUUAGAGUACAAAGGCAGUUUUUUGAUAAAAAAUACUAAACAUCUGAAGUUGAAAGAUCGGGAAAUGACAGGCCACUCUUAGGCUCAAUCUUAACGGAGCAAAGUUGCUGGGUUUAGUCACAGUUACUCCUAUGACUCAGGAGAUCCUAAAAUUAAAGUCAUUUAAAAUAAUCACAGUUAUUACCUCUGACGUUCUGCUCUGAACAGUAAACAGUGUUAUUUGAUGACAGGCUCUUCUGGCGUCUCUGAGGAAAGCCCCCGGAAAACUUACACGCCAGCCCUGGGGGAGAGUUUUUUGGGGAACCCGAAGCCGGGUGCUGCUCCGGAGUUUGCCUCUGCCAGAGCUGUCUGAGGCUCCAUGGACAACCCCAACCACCUGCAGGUUGCUGAUGGAAUUUUAUUUACUUAGAAUGGGAUCCUGUGGAUAAGCAUCCGUGAAUAACCCAGCAUAUACAAAAAACAAAGAGGCAGUGAUCGCAACUAAAUCAAAUGAAAGAUAUUUUUUCAUUAUUAUUUAAUUACUUUUAAUAUAUCACUCAAGAAAUGGUCUCACAAGAAGCAAGGUAGGAAUGUGAAGACAUAAAUUUUAGAGGAAGCCUUUUCCCUGUGUGCGCAGAGAUUACCUUACGCCUCCUUUCCAGGAGCACCUACUAUAAGCAACAUGCUACUUAACCAAGAAGUUCGCACACUGCAUUAAGUAGCAUGCAACAUCCCACUACAUGAUCUUUAGAAACAGCCCAAAUUUAUUUCAAGGCGCAGCGGUUUUGUAGCUCCGUCUUAUCAAGGAUGCUGAAGUCUGGGUGACACCAUGAUGCUGUGGAAGCGGGCAGAAACACGGCGUCGUUCUUGGUAUUACGUGGGCUUCUGCGGCACUGCCUUCCUGCAGCUGUUCGCUCGCGGGUAGAGAUGGCAGGAAAAGAUGAGCCGAACGUUACAAGAGGAGUAGCGAUAAGCUUGUCGGAGAAGGCCGGGGAAGGGGGCGAGCAAGCAGAUGGCUGGCAGGGAGUGUAAGGGGCAGAGCAGAGGAGCACCUUUCAAAAGCACGGUGGUCCCAGUGGUCUGGAGGAGUGGGGCACUCCUUCCUCCUUCCCUAAUACUGCUGCUGGGAGGAAGGCUCAGCCCUUCCUCAGGGCCGGCUGCCCCAGCUGCUGCUCCCCACUCCGGCUCUGGCUCUCCUCCUGGGCUGCCCUUCCUGGGGUGGCCUUGGCACCGCAGCUGCAGCUCAUGAAUAUGCAAUCUGCUGCUACAUAUGCAACAGACCGGUAAUUCCUCUUCAACCUUGUGGCUAUGGUGCUUUUCACUUUGCAGAAAAAGCUCGCCAAAACAGCUUUAAAAAGGAGGUAAAAACUUUUCUUCUAUGUGUGCUUUGUAACACUUACAUAAGUGUUUACUAUAUCUUAUAGGAUUGGAUAGGGGUUGCAAUUCGCCUUUUAUGUAGAUGCAAACAACGUGUUUUCCAAGUUUUUUUGUUGUUUGGUUGGGGUUUUUUUCAGCAGAGCUUUUUGAACUUGUGUUAUCCUUAGAGAACAAGUUUAAACUUAAAAAGUCACCAAAGUGGAUAAAGGAUAGAAGGUAUUAUCAUAUUUUCUUAUUAAAAAUCUCUGGAGAGGUGUUGCUGCCUUCCCAAACCAAACAUUUCCAUAUAAGUGAUUAAUAUCUGAAUUAAUAUAAAUAUGUAUACGCAAGUGGCUUCUUACCUACUUAUUGUAUUAAACGAGCUAGAGACGUCUUGGCAUUCUCAUAACAUGAGCACUGGGUGUCUGUGUGAGGGCUCCUGUUCAUGUAACGUGUCAGUGAACGUACAGUUUGGGAGGAAACACUCCCGUGCAACUUGAGCGACAGAUUCUCACUCCUGAGUAAAUACCAUCCCCUGUAAAACACCUCCUAGUAAUAAAAGUUCUUCCCCACGAAGCUAUCGGG
Falco peregrinus (peregrine falcon) is the source of this 2518-nucleotide long non-coding RNA. RefSeq lists it as uncharacterized. The record is from RefSeq and is a predicted model, not a curated record. The transcript has 3 exons. Lineage: Eukaryota; Metazoa; Chordata; Aves; Falconiformes; Falconidae.